Molecule: long non-coding RNA, 1295 nt
Organism: Microplitis mediator
Lineage: Eukaryota; Metazoa; Arthropoda; Insecta; Hymenoptera; Braconidae
Exons: 4
Source: RefSeq, a predicted model, not a curated record
UAUUUUCAUUACAUCACAGAGUAAUGUUUUUUGAUGAAAACAUGCAUAAUCCAAGGGAACUAAAUGCAUAUAAAAGCUCUGAUUUUAAUCGAUCAAUGCAGACGUCUUCUUCAUCUCCAAUCGCGCGAGAGUUAAAAGUUGAUAUCGUUUUAAAUUGUGAGAAACAAAAAAAAAUCCAAAAAUGUUCAAAGUUAUGAUAUUGUCUUUUUUGAUAAUCGCAUUGGUGGCGACAUUUGCGGCCGCAGAUCGUAAUUGUGGUGGGGCUUGGUGUCACCCGAUAAAAGGUUACAGCUGCUGCAAUCGCCAUGUUUGUUCCAACAUCUUCUCCGAAGGCGUCUGCGAACGCCAGUACGGAGGAAAAUAAUCAGGUAGUUUAUUUUUGAAACAACAAUUAACGCGCAAAUGUAUGACUGUCAAUAAAUAUACUGAUAUCUAAAGCUCUAAUUGUAUUUAUUCAACUUCAAUUUCUAUCUAAUAAUUUCUUAACAAAUUUAUAUCUAUCGAUAUUUAUUCGGCAGAAAAUAAAAUAAAAUCCAACAGCAAUACAAUUUUUUACGAGCCUACGUCGAAAUAUUAAAAAAAAAAUAAUUGCGUAAUUACUGUACUUACAUAAGUAGAUAAAUAAGCAAUUUAUUGUUAUACCAGCAAGGACAUUAUUUAAAACAUUUAUCAGUGUCGAUAAAAUUAAUUACUUUGUAAUUUUCAUACCGAAUACCUAUAGUUCAAAACUUUUUUAUAUAAAUAUAUAUAUUUUUUUCUUAACAAUAAUGGGGAUUAUUUUAAAUAAAUUAUUAAGGAGGUUCAUGUGAGAAAAAUUUCAAUUUCUUCCUUUUUUGGCAAUAAAUUAAUAAACACAUUGAGCCUUGAAGAAAAAAUAAUUCUAGCGCGCAUGCGCGGGUUCCAUCUUGAUGUAGUGGCACCAUGUAUAUUUUCGUUACGUGGGGUUAGAUAAUACUACCAACACGAAAGGAAUUUAAUCAUUUGAAAUUUUUUGUUCGUACGGUCAUACAUAUGAAUAUAUACUUAUAUAUUUAAAAUAAUAUUAAAAUGGCAAAGAUAGUGAUUGUCCUUUUUUCAAUUUUAUUAAUCAUACAAUUGUUGGCUGCAGUGGCAUUUGGCAGUUGUCUCGGCAAUUGGUGUGACAUAAGUGAAGGUUACCCCUGUGGCUGUUUCCAUUAUGUAUGUUCUCGUUACAACUCUCCAGGAAAGUGCCAAUGGCAAAACGGGUAAUGUCACCAAAAUUAAUCGACUGGAGUUCGCAUUACGAUUUUAUCAAAAUUUCUCAAAAUCGUAAU